GCUCUUUGCUCGUUGCAGUCUUCUCUCUCCCUUCCAGGCCACGCUGGGAUGUCACUGUAUACUCCAGAGACUACACCUGUGAUCACAGCAUGGCUUGACUCAGUAGAAUGGGCUGAGAGAAAGGUAUUUAUGAGUUCUGGGUUUGAGAUUUUGCUUACACUUCUUCUUUUUUGUGAAUGUUCCUGCCAUAUGCUUGCUUUUCAAUUUAGCUACCACCUGUUUUUGUUAAAAUUUAGUAGGUGCUUGAUUUUUCUGAGAACAAAAAUAUAUGAAUACUACUUCUAUUUUUAUUAUGCAGCUGGACUGCCUGAAAGUCUUUAUCAUUUUAAGUUAGCUUCUAAGUUGUUUCCUCUUGAACUUUAGAAGUGCUCAAAUUCAUUGCUAAUAAGUUAUUUAGUUGCAUGGUUUGAGUAUUUCCUGCUUUACCUGCCAGGUUGAGUUGAUGUUAAAAGAAACUUGCUUCCAAUGGAGAGCUCCUGCCAUCAACAUGUACAUGAUAAUCAGUGCCAGUUGCAUCUCUUUUAUGGAGUCUGUCAAUGUGAUUUCACUGUAUUU
RNAcentral lists this long non-coding RNA (555 nucleotides) under Ricinus communis (castor bean). RNAcentral's name for it is "long non-coding RNA (RCOM_LNC000761)". The record is from RNAcentral. Lineage: Eukaryota; Viridiplantae; Streptophyta; Magnoliopsida; Malpighiales; Euphorbiaceae.